This 654-nucleotide ribosomal RNA is filed under the name uncultured bacterium. RNAcentral's name for it is "bacterial SSU rRNA". It matches the Rfam family "Bacterial small subunit ribosomal RNA", at positions 8 to 656 of the family's 1533-position model. The record is from RNAcentral.
AGAGUUUGAUCCUGGCUCAGAGUGAACGCUAGCGGCGUGGUUAAGACAUGCAAGUCGAACGAUGAAGCCCAGCUUGCUGGGCGGAUUAGUGGCAUACGGGUGCGUAACACGUGAGCAACCUGCCUUGAAGUGGGGAAUAGCCCGGGGAAACCCGGAUUAAUACCGCAUGUGGUCUCUUUUCGCAUGAAAAGACGACUAAAGUUUGUAAUGACUCUUCAAGAGGGGCUCGCGGCCUAUCAGCUUGUUGGUGAGGUAAAGGCUCACCAAGGCAAAGACGGGUAGCUGGUCUGAGAGGAUGAUCAGCCACACUGGAACUGAGAUACGGUCCAGACACCUACGGGUGGCAGCAGUUUCGAAUCAUUCACAAUGGGGGAAACCCUGAUGGUGCAACGCCGCGUGGAGGAUGACGGCCUUCGGGUUGUAAACUCCUGUCACCAAGGAACAAACGGCAGGUUCAUAGCCUGUCCUGAGUUAACUUGGAGAGGAAGAGGUGGCUAACUCCGUGCCAGCAGCCGCGGUAAUACGGAGACCUCGAGCGUUACUCGGAUUCACUGGGCGUAAAGAGUAUGUAGGCGGUUUGGUAUGUCAGGUGUGAAAGCCCGAAGCUCAACUUCGGAAUUGCGCCUGAAACUACCGGACUUGAGGCCUGGAGAG